GGAAGGAUCAUUACUGAGUUAGGGUCAUUUAGGCCCCACCUCUAACCCUGUGUUUAAACUACCGCGUUGCUUCGGCGGGCCGCCGUCAUGGCCGCCAGAGGAAGGACGUGUUCGCCUCUGGUCCCGAGCCCGUCGAUAGCCUUGAAAAAACUAAAGUCUGGAACGAACAGUGUUGUCUAAGUCUCCAUACAAUUAAACUAAAACUUUCAACAACGGAUCUCUUGGUUCUGGCAUCGAUGAAGAACGCAGCGAAAUGCGAUAAGUAAUGCGAAUUGCAGAAUUCAGUGAGUCAUCGAAUCUUUGAACGCAUAUUGCGCCCUUUGGUAUUCCGAAGGGCAUGCCUGUUCGAGCGUCAUUAAAUACCCUAUCAAGCCCGGCUUGUAGUUGGACCUAGGGUCGCCAUUUAUAAGACGGCCGGUUCGAAAGAUAACGGCUGUCGUCUGUCAGAUCCUCGGUGCAAUGAGCUUUUUAGCACGCAUUGGAGUGGUCGAUAGGCCUGGCCUUUUAACCACGAAUAUUCACAAGGUUGACCUCGGAUCAGGUAGGAAUACCCGCUGAACUUAAGCAUAUCAAUAAGCGGAGGAAAAGAAACCAACAGGGAUUGCCUUAGUAACGGCGAGUGAAGCGGCAACAGCUCAAAUUUAAAAUCUGGCCGUUAAAGGUCCGAGUUGUAAUUUGUAGAGGAUGCCUCGGGCACCGCCCCGGUGUAAAUUUCUUGGAACAGAAUGUCAGAGAGGGUGAGAAUCCCGUCUUGAACCGGCGGUAGGGUCCAUGUGAAGCUCCUUCGACGAGUCGAGUUGUUUGGGAAUGCAGCUCAAAAUGGGUGGUAAAUUUCAUCUAAAGCUAAAUACUGGCCAGAGACCGAUAGCGCACAAGUAGAGUGAUCGAAAGAUGAAAAGCACUUUGAAAAGAGAGUUAAACAGCAUGUGAAAUUGUUGAAAGGGAAGCGUUUACAACCAGACUUUGCGCGCGUCGGUUCCCCCUUCCUUUGUGGUUGGGUCAUUCCGUCGCACUCAGGGCAACAUCGGUUAGGGUGGCCGGUUAAAGGCCCCGGGAAUGUAUCGACUCUUGUAAGGGUCGACUUAUAGCCCGAGGUGUCAUGCGGCCUAUCCGGACCGAGGGACGCGCUCCGGCACGGAUGUUGGCGUAAUGGUUGUAAACGACCCGUCUUGAAACACGGACCAAGGAGUCUAACAUCUAUGCGAGUGUUUGGGUGUCAAACCCCCCGGCGCGGAAAUGAAAGUGAACGGAGGUAAGAACCCGCGAGGGUGCAUUAUCGACCGAUCCUGAUGUCUUCGGAUGGGAUUUGAGUAAGAGCAUAGCUGUUGGGACCCGAAAGAUGGUGAACUAUGCCUGAAUAGGGUGAAGCCAGAGGAAACUCUGGUGGAGGCUCGCAGCGGUUCUGACGUGCAAAUCGAUCGUCAAAUUUGGGUAUAGGGGCGAAAGACUAAUCGAACUAUCUGGUAGCUGGUUCCCGU
This 1478-nucleotide unclassified non-coding RNA is filed under the name uncultured fungus. Its description in RNAcentral is "sequence contains 18S rRNA gene, ITS1, 5.8S rRNA gene, ITS2, 28S rRNA gene". The stretch from base 528 to 1478 matches the Rfam family "Eukaryotic large subunit ribosomal RNA", at positions 1 to 961 of the family's 3401-position model. Lineage: Eukaryota; Fungi. The record is from RNAcentral.